CCCUUAGACGUUCUGGGCCGCACGCGCGCUACACUGAUGCAUUCAACGAGUUUCUUCCUGGUCCGAGAGGAAUGGGUAACCUUUUGAAAGUGCAUCGUGAUAGGGAUAGACUAUUGCAAUUAUUGGUCUUCAACGAGGAAUUCCUAGUAGACGUAGUUCAUCAGACUGCAUCGAUUACGUCCCUGCCCUUUGUACACACCGCCCGCCGCUCCUACCGAUUGAAUGCUCAGGUGAGCCAUUCGGACUUUCAUCAUGCUGGUUUCCAGUUUUGAUGAAGGAAAGUCUUGCGAACCUUAUCAUUUAGAGGAAGGAGAAGUCGUAACA
RNAcentral lists this ribosomal RNA (324 nucleotides) under uncultured eukaryote. RNAcentral's name for it is "partial 18S ribosomal RNA". It matches the Rfam family "Eukaryotic small subunit ribosomal RNA", at positions 1470 to 1796 of the family's 1831-position model. The record is from RNAcentral.